GAUGAACGCUAGCGAUAGGCUUAACACAUGCAAGUCGAGGGGCAGCACAAGGUAGCUUGCUAUCUGGGUGGCGACCGGCGCACGGGUGCGUAACGCGUAUGCAACUUGCCCUAUACAGGAGGAUAACCCGUCGAAAGACGGACUAAUACUGCGUAUGCUCACAACUUGGCAUCAAGUGGUGAGGAAAGAAAUUCGGUAUAGGAUAGGCAUGCGUCCCAUUAGCUUGUUGGUGAGGUAACGGCUCACCAAGGCAACGAUGGGUAGGGGAACUGAGAGGUUUAUCCCCCACACUGGUACUGAGACACGGACCAGACUCCUACGGGAGGCAGCAGUGAGGAAUAUUGGUCAAUGGGCGCGAGCCUGAACCAGCCAAGUCGCGUGAAGGAUGACUGUCUUAUGGAUUGUAAACUUCUUUUAUACGGGAAUAACAAGAGUCACGUGUGACUCCCUGCAUGUACCGUAUGAAUAAGCAGCGGCUAACUCCGUG
Molecule: ribosomal RNA, 487 nt
Filed under: uncultured bacterium
Lineage: Bacteria
Description: partial 16S ribosomal RNA
Rfam family: Bacterial small subunit ribosomal RNA
Source: RNAcentral